This 419-nucleotide ribosomal RNA is filed under the name uncultured bacterium. Its description in RNAcentral is "bacterial SSU rRNA". It matches the Rfam family "Bacterial small subunit ribosomal RNA", at positions 362 to 773 of the family's 1533-position model. The record is from RNAcentral.
UUUUGGACAAUGGGCGAAAGCCUGAUCCAGCCAUGCCGCGUGAGUGAAGAAGGCCUUCGGGUUGUAAAGCUCUUUCGGACGGAAAGAAAUCGCGCCGGUGAAUAUCCGGCGUGGAUGACGGUACCGUAAGAAGAAGCACCGGCUAACUACGUGCCAGCAGCCGCGGUAAUACGUAGGGUGCGAGCGUUAAUCGGAAUUACUGGGCGUAAAGCGUGCGCAGGCGGUUGUGCAAGACAGGUGUGAAAUCCCCGGGCUUAACCUGGGAACUGCGCUUGUGACUGCACGGCUAGAGUACGGCAGAGGGGGGUGGAAUUCCUGGUGUAGCAGUGAAAUGCGUAGAUAUCAGGAGGAACAUCGAUGGCGAAGGCAGCCCCCUGGGCCUGUACUGACGCUCAUGCACGAAAGCGUGGGGAGCAAAC